GAUAUGAGUGAUGCUUAUGAAUGUUUUGCUAUGCAUGAAGGGAUCCAUGCUUUUGAUAAGUGAACCAUGUUGGUUGUAACACUUAGUAUCACAUACUUUGUGUCAAAGUACACAUGUUGAAGCUCUGAGUUGGAGUAUAAGGGUAGGUCAGCGUAAACCAAGUGUUCCAGUGCUAGGAACGCAAAAGACUCAGAAGAAGUUGUCUGAAUUCCCUAUUCUUUAAAUAUUUGCCAAAUGGCUUGUGUGACAAAAGAUCUCAAGCGAUUGAGAGUCAAAACAUUUGUAAUGUGUAUGCCUUCUUAUAAUAGCAUUUCCUUCAGUAUCUAGUCCUCCACUUUAAAAGAGUGAGGCUUGGCCCCAUAGUCAUAAUAGU
RNAcentral lists this long non-coding RNA (373 nucleotides) under Malus domestica (apple). RNAcentral describes it as "long non-coding RNA (MDOM_LNC001628)". The record is from RNAcentral. Lineage: Eukaryota; Viridiplantae; Streptophyta; Magnoliopsida; Rosales; Rosaceae.